GUUUACGGCCAUACCACCCCGAAUAUGCCCGAUCUUGGAAGCUAAGCAGGUUCGGGCUCGGUGAGUACUUGGAUGGGAGACCGCCUGGGAAUACCGAGUGCUGUAAGCU
Molecule: ribosomal RNA, 109 nt
Filed under: Erpetoichthys calabaricus (reedfish)
Lineage: Eukaryota; Metazoa; Chordata; Cladistia; Polypteriformes; Polypteridae
Source: RNAcentral